This 254-nucleotide ribosomal RNA is filed under the name uncultured bacterium. RNAcentral's name for it is "partial 16S ribosomal RNA". It matches the Rfam family "Bacterial small subunit ribosomal RNA", at positions 524 to 776 of the family's 1533-position model. The record is from RNAcentral.
UACGUAGGGUGCAAGCGUUAAUCGGAAUUACUGGCGUAAAGCGUGCGCAGGCGGCUUUGCAAGACAGAUGUGAAAUCCCCGGGCUCAACCCUGGGAACUGCAUUUGUGACUGCAUGGCUAGAGUACGGUAGAGGGGGGAUGGAAUUCCGCGUGUAGCAGUGAAAUGCGUAGAUAUCCAGAGGAACACCAGUGGCGAAGGCGACUCACUGGGCUCCACCUGACGCUGAGGCGCGAAAGCGUGGGUAGCGAACCGG